Long non-coding RNA from Bombus huntii, 13641 nucleotides. RefSeq lists it as uncharacterized. Lineage: Eukaryota; Metazoa; Arthropoda; Insecta; Hymenoptera; Apidae. The record is from RefSeq and is a predicted model, not a curated record. The transcript is spliced from 2 exons.
UUUUACGAAGCCGAGCAGUUGCUGAAAUUGGAUUAGCGAAUCAGAGAAAAAAUGCUCGUAAUUUUUAAACAAAGUCGAAUAGAAUAUACGCGAGUAUGAACCUUUCUCGUUGCUUUUGUGCCUCCUGUCCACUUCUAUUACUUGCUUGCACAUAUAUUACACACAUCAUCCACACAUACUACGGUACACCUUUCAGGACAAAAGGUAAGCAGUCGCGGGUUGUUGAAACACGAAAAUGGCUACAACUUUGAAACAAGGUCAGAUGGAACGCAUGAACUUUUUGGGUCUCUUGAAAUGGGUCCUGCUAAUUAUCAUACACACUGUGCACAUGAAAAGUUUCCAGCAACGUUGAAAUAUUUUCGUGGCCCGAUGUAUAUCCAGUUCAUAAGACUUAUUUCAAGUUGGAUUAGUUGAAAGUUUAAAGAAAGUCGGAAUUUAGCGAAAAAAUCGUUCGACCCUCCUAUCUCAUAGAAGAACGGACUCGCGGAAACAAAAAAGAAGUCGGCGACUGUAAGAAGUUUAUCAAGGCAUCGUGAGUAUAUCUGUCGAUGAAAGGCUUGCGGAACGAAGAAAGAAGGAUGAAAAGACGAGAGCAUGCUCUUACUUUAAAACUAAUCCUAGUUGCCGACAGUUCCAGCGAAGAAAGAUUCGUCGUUCUUCGUCUGACGUAAGGACGGCUGAAACUUUUCCGAUUUAGCUACUAACCGCGACGGUAAGCCGACCGAUUAUUGUCUGACGGGCAUUAUUGCCGCUUGAUUAUGCCUGAAGAAAGGAAAGCGGCUGAAGGAUCCUUUAAAAACAUAUUAUCUCGAUAUUGUGACCCGCGAAUGUUGGAAACUUUGUUUCGUGACUUUUUUCUCAGGGACCAACUACGAUCGAGACUUGGAUUCAUUGCGAUGUACACGGACUGUGGGAAAAAUAAUAGAACUCUUUGAAAAUGACAAAGCAGAGGCAUUUUUCUCGUGGAAAACGUUUGCUCCUUUAAGAUGUAUUUGUCCUGUGACGAAACAACGACGGCUAACUAAUUGUUCAACCAAACAGUUCAUCGGCGAAUGCAGUUUAACAGCAGCCAGUCAAUUUACAAUUUUUCAGUGUGUUUUUUUCCUUCUUCUUGGUGGAAAAUAUGACGAGGAUGAUUUUUAUUUUACUUAAAAUUUCACGGAUGCUGCUGGGACACACAAAUCGCAAUUACUUGUCAAUAUGCCGGUAGGUUUGAAAAUUGUCACAAACUGCUACGAUGUGAAUCAAGAAACUCUCGAAAUUAACAGUGAAAAGUAUACCGUAAAAAGUAUAAUCGUAAAGACGAAAGUUUUUUUUUUAUUUAAUUCUUUACAUUCACAAUUUGUUCAGUUUGGAUAUUUGGUAGAAUUUUUUAAAAGACGAAAGUUUUUUUUUUAUUUAGUUGUUUACAUUCACAAUUUGUCCGAUUUGGACAUUUGGUAGAAUUUUUUUAGAAGACGAAAGUGAACGCAAAGUUCUGUUACUUUGAUAAACGAACGUGUAAAAAUGCGAAAUUGUAUAGAGCCUAAUAAAUAACUCAAAUAAGGUUGAAUUACAUUCGUAUAAUUUGGUUCAUUAACAACGAGCAACAUCUGCAGUCCCUGUAGAACUGUAUCUUAUACUCGUUUUAGCACACACAGGUUGCAGAUAUUUCGUCAGAAGGCGACGUAAUGCUCAACGCGAGAAGCAAGUUAGGUGUUUGAAAGUUACCAAAGAAAGGUCUGAAGUGCAGUUUGCAAGUAGAGGGAUUUAAUGUUGCGAACAUUCCGCGUUUACGUUUGCCGAAAUUUAAUUUAUUCGGUAGAGCAGAGCCUCGAUUAUCCGACGUGAAAACUCGGAUAAUACGGAAAGGUCUAUCAGUGUUCAUUGUUGAAGUAAAUAUUUCAAGAAAAACUCUGCAACUUUAUUUACGUAUAUCCGUGACCUGGAGACUGCUAUUACGAAGAAAUAUUCUAAAUAAGGAGCGGUGCAUAUUAUUGUAUACUUGAAUAUACAUUAUGUUUUAGGUUGCAAGGUCUAGGAACAAAGGAACUAAUAAACAGAUUUCUAUUUAUGUUCCCUGUACAACCCACAGACCUGACUGAAGAAAUAAAAUAGUCAAAUUCGAAGAUGGUGUUCCGCUGGGGGUAGCCAUUGACAUGUUAUUUAGUAAUUAACUUAGAAAAUUUACCACAUGUCCAGCUGGACAAAUUGUAAAGUACAAAUUAAACAGAAAACAAAUUUUGUCCUAGAAAACACCCCACUAACUUCACUGAAGAAUUAAAAUAGUCAAACUCGAAGAUGGUAACCCGCUGGGAGUAGCCAUCCACAAGCAACUGAGUAAAGAAAAUUUAUCAAAUGUCCAGCUGGACAAAUUGUAAAGUACAAAUUAAAUAGAAAAGAAGACUUUGUUCUAGAAAACACCUCACUAACUUCACUGAAGAAAUAAAAUAGUCAAACUCGAAGAUGGUAUCCCGCUGGGGGUAGUCAUUGACGUUAUUUAGCAAUUAACUUAGAAAAUUUACCAGAAGUCCAGCUGGACAAAUUGUAAAGUACAAAUUAAAUAACAAAAGAAGACUUUGUUCUAGAAAACACCCCACUAACUUCACUGAAGAAUUAAAAUAGUCAAACUCGAAGAUGGUAACCCGCUGGGAGUAGCCAUCCACAUGUUAUUUAGCAACUGAGUAAAGAAAAUUUAUCAAAUGUCCAGCUGGACAAAUUGUAAAGUACAAAUUAAACAGAAAAAAAAUUUUGUCCUAGAAAACACCCCACUAACUUCACUGAAAAAAUAAAAUAGUCAAACUCGAAGAUGGUAACCCGCUGGGAGUAGCCAUCCACAAGCAACUGAGUAAAGAAAAUUUAUCAAAUGUCCAGUUGGACAAAUUGUAAAGUACAAAUUAAAUAGAAAAGAAGACUUUGUUCUAGAAAACAUCCCACUAACUUCACUGAAGAAAUAAAAUAGUCAAACUCGAAGAUGGUAUCCCGCUGGGGGUAGUCAUUGACGUUAUUUAGCAAUUAACUUAGAAAAUUUACCAGAAGUCCAGCUGGACAAAUUGUAAAGUACAAAUUAAAUAACAAAAGAAGACUUUGUUCUAGAAAACACCCCACUAACUUCACUGAAGAAUUAAAAUAGUCAAACUCGAAGAUGGUAACCCGCUGGGAGUAGCCAUCCACAUGUUAUUUAGCAACUGAGUAAAGAAAAUUUAUCAAAUGUCCAGCUGGACAAAUUGUAAAGUACAAAUUAAAUAGAAAAGAAGACUUUGUUCUAGAAAACACCCCACUAACUUCACUGAAGAAAUAAAAUAGUCAAACUCGAAGAUGGUAUCUCGUUGGGAGUAGCCAUCCACAUGUUAUUUAGCAACUGAGUAAAGAAAAUUUAUCAAAUGUCCAGCUGGACAAAUUGUAAAGUACAAAUUAAACAGAAAACAAAUUUUGUCCUAGAAAACACCGCACUAACUUCAUUGAAGAAAUAAAAUAGUCAAAUUUGAAGAUGGUAUUAUGCUGGGGGUAGUCAUUGACAUGUUAUUUAAUAAUUAACUUAGAAAAUUUACCAAAUGUCCAGAUGGACAAAUUGUAAAGUACAAAUUAAAUAGAGAAAAAGCUUUUGUUCUAGAAAACACUCCACAGAUCCGACUGAAGAAAUAAAAUAGUCAAACUCGAAGAUGGUAUCCCGCUGGGGGUAGUCAUUGACGUUAUUUAGCAAUUAACUUAGAAAAUUUACCAGAAGUCCAAUUGGACAAAUUGUAAAGUACAAAUUAAAUAAUAAAAAAAAACUUUUGUUCAUUCUCUUCCGAUCCGCUGCGAAAACCUUUAGAAGUCGAAAUAAAACUUACUUAAACUCGAAUUAUUCGCCACCUGUCCAGGUACUUUAUUUUAUUUCUAUAACUCGAGUUUAGACUCUGCAAGUCGAAGUUUAUCGUUAUGAGUCGAACUUCUAUCGCUGCUUCUAGCUGCAACUCGAAGUAUGACUAUAGCUACACUAUAUGUGACAAUAUGCAAGAGAAGCCAAUUGUUCGAUAUUAUCUCGCUUCUUCCAACUGUUAGGAUCGUUCCAAGCAACAUAAGACAACGCAAACCAUGUCCCUACCUCUUCGCCCUUCGACCAUUCUAUCUAUUCAUGGAAGCUAAUCGUUUUUCGUCAGUCGAACGCAUAAUUGCCAUUAUCUGUCACGUCUUUAACUUUCGCAUUUAUGCACCUUGAAUAGAACGAGUUCUAAGAGGAAGCUUAAAAUAAUUACACUCUCUGAGAACGUGGCUGUAAUUACGCCUUCGUGCGAAGCUUCUGUACGGUGAAUUUUCGUUUGUCGAAGCUCUUUUACCCGGAAAUUUCGAUAAGCCAAAAUUCUUUUAGAAUUCAAAGACUUUACACUCUUCCCUCGGGGUUCGAGUUGCCGAGUUUCGACUGCAGUUCGAGGUCGAUCGAUGACAGUCGUCGGAGUUCGAUCGACGGUAGCGAUAAGUAGAACAUAGGGCGACUAUCAACUCGCUUUCGCAUAAAUUGUAGACUUCAGCCUCGACCUGGAAUUUUUUCGACUUUGAAGAGUUCGCUGGUGCGAUAAAUCGAAAAUCUUGAAGGGCUGAAAGGGAGCACGUGUUGGUAGAAAGUGGGUCCGGAGCGAAGCAUUUGCAUCGAAGUAUUGAGAAGCAGGCAGAGAGCGUGGUUGCCUUCACGCAGUGUCGUUAUAUUGUUCCAGGGACCCCUUGACAUCGGCCCCAAGUGUUUCGUGUGGUACGAACCUUUCACAGUUUUGCGCACCCACAGACGCAAGCCGCUCGUACGUGUGAAAGUGUUCACGGACGCGCAUCUUAGUCGGCCCAUUUCACCAACAAUACCCCUGAAAAUCGUACGAGUGUUAUGCUUCAAAUCUGAACGAAGCACACACACCUCUUUAUAUGCCCUGUGCAUUCCAGCUCCACUUUCCUAUAUUUGUAUGCCAAUCUUUGUUAUAUAGUGCACUAUACGGCGUGUUCGCGGAUUUACUAGCCAGCGUUUUUCCCAUUCUUUCUUUUUUUUUUAUUAUUUAAUUUGUAGUUUACAAUUUGUCCAGCUGGAUAUUUCGCAAAUUUUGUUAACUUAAUUGCUAAAUAACAUGUGGAUGGCUACCCCCAGCGGGUACCAUCUUCGAGUAAAUCUUUCCCGUUAGCGAUAAGUCUUUUAUUUUUUAUUCAUUCUACGAUAUUUACGAGGGAAUGUUCAAUUCCUGAAGGAGAGUUUUCACUUACUAUAUCACAAUUUAUCGCGUCUUGGUAACUUGAAUUUGUUACAGAGCGAUAAGUACGUGGAGAAAGAUGAAUGGAUCGAAGUGAACUACAUCUUCGCGAUAAUAUUUUCUAACUCUUCGAAAGUGCAAAAAUGCAUAUGCAUUCGAGACAGUUACACUAUUUUUUUUGCAUUUUUAAAUGGCAACCUCUUUUUCCAUACAUCGAAUCCUCCCAUCAAAAAAAAAAAAAAAAAAAAAAAAAAAUAUCAAGGUAACAUGAUCGAAAACUGAUUAAUACUGAUUAGUUUAGAAAAUAUUUUAACAUCAAUUUUGUAGAAUAUCAUAUAAAAAACAAAGAGUGACGUAUCUAUCGAACAUUUGCUGGAACAAUAACGUAAUUAAAAAGUCACGAAUUUAGGGCAGACAAGUUUGAAAGUUCCGGACUGUUUGCAGUCUCGUAGCAAGACAAAAGCAUUACAAUGAUAGCACAAUUCUCUGACAUUCUGAAUUUUUGAAGUUUGCUUCUAAUUUUUUCUACUAACUGUCUUUUCUCAAUAAAUUUACCAAUAACUCAAGCAACUACAAAUUUUGAUUUACGUCAUUGUCCCAGCAAACGAGCAACGUGGCAAAUUCCACAAAAUUAAACUUCAAGUAUCCUAUAUUUUAAAUUAAUUAUUUUUCCAUCAUGUUAUCAAAACUGUCUUCUUCUGUAUAUUUCAUAAUUUUUGUUGGCUCUCUCCCGAUCUAUCUUUCACAGUACAUGCACGUAUUAUACAUACGUAGGUGUAAUUAUGUUUGUAAAAAUAGAAUAAGAGUUUAAAAACCGUAUUGCACUGUGAAUGCACCAUUUAAGGCAAUGUCAACUUUUUAUUUGUACAACGUGUGCGAUAUAUGUAUGCAUAGUUUCAGACAGGAUGCAGCAGGAAAACUUGAUGAAAACCAUGUAUCCACCGCUAUUGUAUUCAUAAGCAUCGAAUUCUUUUGCGUCCUGCACGUCGCAUAAACAAUGUUUCAGUAUUCGAAUAUUCUACAUAUACGUGACGCAUUCCUGAACAUCAAACGAACGUCUGUCUUUAUAAAGCAGCAGGUUGCGCUUAACGAGCGACAUUCCUUCGGUUAAAAAUCAGAAAGGUACUUAUACAUUUCUUAAUUUAUAAACAUGACACGUUUCAUUUAAAUAUUUUAUACGUGGAUAUAAUUUUAUGAAAAGGAAUGCGCAAGAGGACAUGUUACAUGAGACAGAAUUAGUUCUUAAUAUCUUAAAUGUAUCGUGAUAAUGACUCGUUUAAUAUCGACACAUUUGCACCCUUCAAAUUUACAAAUUUCGUAGGAAGUUAUGUAAUUAAUAUAAAAAAAUCGAUAUAAUAUUAAUAUUCGGUAUAUAAUUGAACAGAUAAUGAAAAAAUUCCCGGUGCAAUUGAAACUGGUAAAGUAAAUACAGUAAGUAUGAAUUAGCAAACUGUCAAUUUUACAUUAUUCUUUAGUAUUAUGUGUAUUGAGAUUAAGAAAAGAAAGUUCUUGAGCAUUCCAUGAGUAUUGAGAAUUAUUCCUUUCAUCGAUAUAAUUGACAAUCCAUAUAGUAAUUUCUUACGUAAGAACAGUUUUUAUUUUUUUUUAUUAUUUAAUUUGUACUUUACAAUUUGUCCAGUUGGACAUUUGGUAAAUUUUUCUAACUUAAUUGCUAAAUAACAUGUGGAUGGCUACCCCCAGCGGGAUACCAUCUUCAAGUUUGACUAUUUUAUUUCUUCAGUCGGAUCUGUGGAGUGUUUUCUAGAACAAAAGCUUUUUCUCUAUUUAAUUUGUACUUUACAAUUUGUCCAGAUGAACAUUUGGUAAAUUUUUCUAACUUAAUUGCUAAAUAACAUGUGGAUGGUUACCCCCAGCGGGAUACCAUCUUCGAGUUUGAGUAUUUUAUUUCUUUAGUGAGGUCAGUGGGGUGUUUUCUUUCUAGUCUUCUUUCCAAGGACGUUUGUGUGUUUGCUUGUCCAUAUGUAUACACUACACUACGUAAGCAUCUCUAGGGAAAUUUUGGUCGAUUUGUAGUAACAGUAUAUAACCAAGCUGCACCAACAGAUGAUAAAUUAACAAUUGGAAACAGUAUUUACUAUCUUUCUAUGAAAUCAUCAGAAUACAAAUUUGCAUUGCGUAUUAAAGAACACAGCAAUGAUCGAUGUUAGUAUUUACUGUAUAUAAUAGCGUAUACGUUUGCUGUUUAACGUUAGGAGGCUGUUUGGCUGUUUAAAACGUUCUUCUCAAUCUGUUCUACAAAUUAAAAAUUGGAGAAUCUGAAGGUAAAGAGUUUGUCAAGUGACAAAAUAGUUCUAUGAGAUAUGGCAAUUACAGACGCCUGUUUUACUAUCAGACGAUCAUUCAGAGGCCGCAAUGAUCAACUCCAUAAAUCGAAAAGCAAAAGAAAAAAGAAGAUAAUGAUGUUACCAACGCUAUUUUUUAAAUUUAGCUUGAAACUUCCUGUUACCUAUGUUGUCUUGCUGUGAUAAAUAAACUCACGGAGGAGAGUCAUCUGUUUUCCGAAAAUUAAACAUUAAUGUGUGUACUUCUAUAACGAAAUUGAGAAAUUGACAAGAAUCUUUACCGCUUUAUCUUCAGAGCCACAAUUAUAAUAUACCAUUAUUAAAAUAAUUCCAAUUUUAUCUCACUAUAAUUUCACAAUCAAAAUAUGUCUUGUCAAAAAUGAGCUAGUGUCCCAACUUUUUUCUGUGCUAGUGUAUCAUUCGAAUUUUUCCAGAUAUUUGAAUGUAUCCGUUUAAACAGCACAUACUGCAUAUCCUAAUAUCGCCGAUUGAUAUAAUUUUACCCAUCUUCUUCUCUCUGCUGCUUUACCAUUUUCUUUUCCUACUACUUUGCAAUUAUAGCUACUUCGAUCACGGCAGCUAUUACUAGCCGGCACACAUUCAAACUCUUGGCGCGCACGUACGAGCAACGCCUCUUCAAUGUGUGUAUGAUGAAUCGUUUUGCCGGCCGGCGGUUCCCCGUGAUUACAUCGCGCAGAUUAUAAGCACCGUAGAAAAUUGAGUUUAUUCAAGUAGGAAUAUCGAUCUUCUAUCACGGGCAGGUGAACAUUCUACGUGCAACCGCUCUCUAGCGACCACGCAUGGUAUUCAAUCACGGUACAUCUUGGCAAAACAGCUUUAAAUACGGCUAUUGCUCUUAACUUGUAAACCAUAAUUGACGCGCUGCGCUAUACUCUUUUAUGUUUGGUUGCAACGAAGGAGCCAAGCCUCGUAAAGGUAUUUGCUGAAUGAAUAUUAAACGUCUAGUACGUUCCACGGAUCCUCACCGUAUUUAAUUUUGUUCCUUUUAUACAGCGUGCAAUAGUAAAGUAGAUGUUAAUUACCCAUUGAAAUCACCGAUGUGGAUUUUACCGACAUUCUUUUUACCGACGACGAUUUACUGACGCCAGACUCGAUCGGCUACAACUUUGACCGACCACGGUAUUAACAGAUAACAACAAUGACCGAUAGUUUAGCUAAUUGUUUAGUCGAAUAUAAUAAGAUUUAAAUUGCUUGUUAAAUGGCAACGAUAACAUACGAGUAAUUUUGUAAUUUCUUGGUGUAGAAAGAGCCGGUUGGGAAAACGUUGAUUCGCUUGCUGGGUCUUGCUUGUUUAUUACAUACAUCAGUUUCUUUAUCGAGAUCGGUCGAUAACUCCAGAUUUGCUUGUCUAUUAUGUUGCAUUUCUGUGAUCUUGUGAUUUUACCGUGUGAUCAAUGCUCGUUAGGAACUUUUUGGCGAAAAAUAAUACAGUUCUGAUUUCUCGAUCACCAGAUAUGACAUCAUACGAUUUCUUAUUAUUCUGAGGAUGGAAAAAGCUACGAAAGAACAACUGCUUCAAAGCGCUGAAGACAUAAAACUAAGAACGAACCAAGAGGCACACAAUAAAGUGAAUUGCCAAACUGUUUUGAGGAUUGGGAAAGAUAUUGGCAGAAAUGUAUCAUUGUUUAUGGGUAUUACUUUGAAGGGGACGAAAUAAACAUAUUACGUUAAAAACUAACUCACUAAAGAAAUAAAAUAGUCAAACUUGAAGAUGGUAUCCCGCUGGGGGUAGCCAUUCACAUGUUAUUUAGCAAUUAAGUAAGAAAAUUUAUCAAAUGUCCAGCUGGACAAAUUGUAAAGUACAAAUUAAACAGAAAAAAAAUUUUGUCCUAGAAAACACCCCACUAACUUCACUGAAGAAAUAAAAUAGUCAAACUCGAAGAUGGUAUUCCACUGGGGGUAGCCAUCCACAUGUUAUUUAGCAAUGAAGUUAGAAAAACUUACCAAAUGUCCAGCUGGACAAAUUGUAAAGCACAAAUUAAAUAGAAAAAAAAUUUUGUUCCAUAAAACACCCCACUAACUUCACUGAAGAAAUAAAAUAGUCAAAUUCGAAGAUGGUAUUCCACUGGGGGUAGCCAUCCACAUGUUAUUUAGCAAUUAAGUAAGAAAAAUGUACCAAAUGUCCAGCUGGACAAAUUGUAAAGCACAAAUUAAAUAGAAAAAAAAUUUUGUUCCAUAAAACACCCCACUAACUUCACUGAAGAAAUAAAAUAGUCAAACUCGAAGAUGGUAUUCCACUGGGGGUAGCCAUCCACAUGUUAUUUAGGAAUUAAGUUAGAAAAACUUAUCAAAUGUUCAGCUGGACAAAUUGUAAAGUACAAAUUAAAUAGAAAAAAAAUUUUGUUCCAUAAAACACCCCACUAACUUCACUGAAGAAAUAAAAUAGUCAAACUCGAAGAUGGUAUUCCACUGGGGGUAGCCAUCCACAUGUUAUUUAGCAAUGAAGUUAGAAAAACUUACCAAAUGUCCAGCUGGACAAAUGGUAAAGUACAAAUUAAAUAAUAAAAAAAAAAGAAAAAAACGUAGAAUGCCCGUAUUGUCGAUCGUAUUACAAGUGUUGCGACAUUCCUGUACAAUUUACCUGAAUUUAGAUGACUGGAACUUGCAGUUUCUAAACUGUAACCGCUAUUCAAUUGAUAAUUUUCAUGGCUAUAUUUCAGACUCGCAAACGGGCGAUACGAAAUUACAAAAUUACGAUGAUUUAUGUGGAGGCAGGUAUACUACGCACGGCUGGCGACGUUUUAAUCAUGAGAACGAAUCACGUGCACGUGAGAAAACGUUUUCAUUACAUACACGAACACUGGCUACCGGCCUUACGAUUCAGCACACGCUAUCGUAAUCGAGCGGCUGCAAAAAUAUAUCAGCGAAAAUGUAAAUGACUGCGUCGGCAGUACCGUGUCGCACGAUCAUUUAAUGUUACUGGUCAGUUAAUGAAACAAGGAGAAACUUGCAGUCCAGGUUGUUCGUGUAAGAUGAAUUUACCUUUGAUCGAGCAACGAUUCAAAUCAUUUCUCAUUCUUUUAUUAUGUUCGCUGAAAUUUCUUUCAGCUUUAUGAUUCUUCCUUUUCUUUUUUAACGUACGUUUAACGUCGCAUCGACUGUAGGCUCAUUAGCGACGACGCUAAGCUUAGACUGAUUAGUAGAUUGCAGACUUUUAUGCAAAUUUAUACUGUUGGUGAUACAGUUAAAAGAGUAGAAGAUCGAUAGAAAAGUAUUAAAGGAAGCGCUAAGAUCGUUGAACGAACCAAGAGGCACACAAUAAAGCGAAUUGCCAAACUGUUUUGAGGAUUCGAAAAGACAUUGGAAAAAGUGUAUAUCAUUGUUUAUACUUUGGAUAUUUUACAUGCUUUUUUAUAUCAUCCGUGUUUUGUGCAAUUUUGCACUUUCAAGAAGAACAAAAAGAAUAUUAGAAAUGCAUAAAAAGCUACAUCGUUUUGAUUUUUGCUAUUUUUAGUUCAUAUUUAUUUCUUUGAAGAAAUUUAACGCGUUUGAUGCGUAGAUUUGCGACUCUAAGGCUGCGUCAGGUUCCAUUUCGUGUCUCUGACUUCGUGUUUCUGUUAUCCACGUAUUAUCUGCCAGCCAUAUCAUCUGCUCAGUAACUCCAACAUUGAAAUACUUCAACGCUUCCAAUCGAAAACGCUAAGAUCCCUAAUUGAUGCACCUUGGUAUGUUACCAACGAAACAAUACACCGCGACCUCAAGAUAACCACAGCCAAAGAGGAAAUAGCAAAAUAUAGCGACAGAUAUAGCAAAAGAGUCAAUAAACACCGAACUCCCUAAUCACUGGAUUACUUGAUACGACGGACCAGAUCCGCAGGCUGAAGAGACACUACCCGCUAGACCUAAACGAUAGAUUCAACUAGUUAUUUAAAUCAAGUAACAUUUACUUAUUUACAAUACUUACUUACAAAUUAUACUUAUCUAUAAUAAGUAUUAACUUAUUAUAAAUAAUUAGCCAUGUUACUGCGCCACGCCAGAAAAAUUACUGAAAAUUCUCAACGCGAGAAUUGAUUGUAAUUUUAAUAAAUAUUAAAAAAAAAAAAAAUCAUCUGCUCCUUUUUGUCGCCUGAUUUAACUGCACCGGACUUUUCCUUACGGGAUUUUCUUAAACGUAAAGCGUAUGACGAUAAACCAAUCGCAAUUGAGUAGUUAGAAGAUGAUAUUCGAGAAACUUAGCGAAGAAAAGAAGAAGAUAGUAAAGGUAGCUUCCGAAAUGUAUGAAAAAGUAAUGAAAAGUGACUUUCUUGAGGUUGAGACUUUGUACAUAAUUUCCAAAUAUGAAUAGAUGACUCGUAUUAAGAAGGCGUUUCUUCUUUAUUGUAUAGAAUGCUUAGGUAAUAUUGUCAGAGAAAAAGUACGCAAGUAUAAUAUUUUGCAAAAUUGAAAUAUACAGGGUGGUUGGUAACUGGUGAUACAAGCGGAAAGGGGGAGAUUCUACGCGAAAAAAGAAGUCGAAAAUAUAGAAUAAAAAUUUUUCGUUCGAGGCUUUGUUUUCGAGAAAAUUGACUUUGAAUUUUCGGUCGGUACGCGUGCACUUUAUCGCGUCUCGUUAUAACGGAUCUCACUGUAGAUCGUUGUCUCGAUGGAAAAAUUUAAAAAAAGAAAAAAAGAACUUUUAUUCUGUAUAUCAUAGCAUAUUUCAAUCUGUUGUAACUUGCAGAGAAAAAUAUAUCAAAUUUGCGUGGCAGUCAACGCGUUAAAUAACAAAGUGAUUUAUGUGCCACUUUGUAUUUUACAUUAUAAGAACGAAUUAACAGAUUCAUAAUAAAACAGCAAGAGAAUAAAAACAGUGGCAAGCAUUCCAUUCGAUAUAAUUGAUCACUGCUUAUUCUCAUAAUUUCCUUCCAAUGUCCUUCACGAAUGAAUUAUAUUACACUUUAACGCGUAUCUUACCGUGUCAAAAAAAUUCAUACUAAUUUCUACUGUACCAUUUUAUAUGUCUGUCGCUUAGCGCAAGAAAUGCCAGCGUCGUAUUUUUACCAAAAUGAAUUAAACUCAGUCUCGAGUCUGUAAAAAAUUGUAUAGUCCCCAACGACAGUCUUAUAAUUAAUAAUAAAUAAUAGUAGUUUUAUAAAUAAUAAUGUGAAAGGACAGAUUCCAAUUCUACCCAAAAACGACUGACGUGACAUUUGUACAUAUCAAAGAGAAAUUUUUCAUAAAACAAAGUUUCCACGAAAAAUACCAGAGUAGUCAGCAUAAAUAUAAAACGCGAACAGCAUAAGCUUCGAUUCUCUCUUUCUGUAUGAGAAAAGAAAUUCGAAGCAGUAGAAACCUCGGUGUCAAAAAUUGUUCGAACAUGUAUUUUCUAACAUAUUAGGUUGUCCGAAAGUUUCUUUCGUUUUAUGAGGAAAUAAUAACAACAUUUUAUUGUUUUAUCGAAUUACGUACGAUCCAUUCUGUUCUGUCGAGAUAAACACCGCGACAUUUUCACAGACUUGGUUUCACGUUUGUACGAAGCUGCAUUGCCGUAAAAAACACGUUUGCGAAAGAAAGACACUUUCCGGACAACCUAAUACAUCAGCGAAUAAGGGCAGGCCGUGCAUUUCCAUCGGAAAUUCGAAAUCUAUGUCGGAUUUGUCGCAACGAAUGGUGGUUAACGGGUUAUUCACGCGCAAGACAAAGCGCAAUCACUAGAGCCGGAGGAAUCAAAAGGGAUAACCAAACUGGGAAGACAGAUGGAAAGCCAUACAGGAAGGAAGGAUGAGCGCGGCACGCGGUUGCUGGUACGUUUCGAAACUGUUCGCUAUUUGUAUAUAGUACACGUUUAUAUGUAUGUAUAGUACUCGUAGAUUCAGCUUGGCUGACCAACCGAAUGACCAACCAACUGACUAACCAAUGAAACCUUCGACCUUCCUGCCGCUCAACCGCCCCUCCAAGGAUGCUUGUUAACUUACAAUACCAGCAACUAUGACGUACCACUCUAUGCUGUAUUAUUGCUAGUGAUGGGCUGAAAUACGUCACAAGUAGAUUGGAACAUUGUCCGACUGGAUUUGUUGGCUUUCGUGAAUUUCUCUCGGUUUGGAAUGAUCAUGGAAGGUAGAGUAAAAUCAAGGCGUAUGUCAGUUCGGUGAACAUUCGUAUAGUUAGUGCUGAAUUUUGCAGCAGCCUGUCGAUGCUUGUACGAUGCA